Molecule: ribosomal RNA, 681 nt
Filed under: Triticum aestivum (bread wheat)
Lineage: Eukaryota; Viridiplantae; Streptophyta; Magnoliopsida; Poales; Poaceae
Description: partial small subunit ribosomal RNA
Source: RNAcentral
AUGGCGGCGGCGGCGCAGAGGCUCCUCGCGGCGAGCACGAAGAUCGUCGGGGUCGGGCGGAACUACGUCGCCCACGCCAAGGAGCUCGGCCACCCCGUCCCCAAGGAGCCGGUGCUGUUCCUCAAGCCGACCUCGUCGUUCCUCCACGCGGGCGUGGCCACCACCGCCGUCGAGGUGCCCGAGCCGCUCGAGUCGCUGCACCACGAGGUCGAGCUCGCCGUCGUCAUCUCACGGCGCGCGCGCGACGUGCCCGAGGCCUCCGCCAUGGACUUCGUCGGAGGUUAUGCUCUUGCUUUGGACAUGACAGCAAGGGACCUUCAGUCUGUAGCUAAGUCUGCAGGUCUUCCUUGGACUUUGGCUAAAGCACAGGAUACCUUUACUCCAAUUAGUGCAGUGGUCCCAAAAUCAGCUGUCCCUAAUCCUGAUGAUCUAGAACUCUGGCUAAAGGUGGACGAUGAACUUAGGCAGAAAGGGCCUACAAGUGAUAUGAUAUUCAAGGUUCCUUUUCUAAUCAGUUAUAUCAGUUCGAUCAUGACGUUGAUGGAGGGUGAUGUGAUAUUAACCGGAACUCCUGAGGGUGUAGGCCCUGUCCGAAUAGGGCAGAAGAUCAAAGCUGGUAUAACUGGUCUCAUCGAGGCCGAGUUUGAUGUUCAGAGGCGCAGUCGGACAUUUUCUCCCUGA